RNAcentral lists this ribosomal RNA (452 nucleotides) under uncultured bacterium. RNAcentral describes it as "bacterial SSU rRNA". It matches the Rfam family "Bacterial small subunit ribosomal RNA", at positions 29 to 524 of the family's 1533-position model. The record is from RNAcentral.
AACGAACGCUGGCGGCAUGCCUAACACAUGCAAGUCGAACGAGACCUUCGGGUCUGGUGGCGCACGGGUGCGUAACGCGUGGGAACCUGCCUUUAGGUUCGGAAUAACUCAGAGAAAUUUGAGCUAAUACCGGAUAAUGUCUUCGGACCAAAGAUUUAUCGCCUUUAGAUGGGCCCGCGUAAGAUUAGCUAGUUGGUGGGGUAAAGGCCUACCAAGGCGACGAUCUUUAGCUGGUCUGAGAGGAUGAUCAGCCACACUGGGACUGAGACACGGCCCAGACUCCUACGGGAGGCAGCAGUGGGGAAUAUUGGACAAUGGGCGAAAGCCUGAUCCAGCAAUGCCGCGUGAGUGAUGAAGGCCUUAGGGUUGUAAAGCUCUUUUACCCGUAGAUGAUAAUGACAGUAUCGGGAGAAUAAGACUCCGGCUAACUCCGUGCCAGCAGCCGCGGUAAU